UCCUGGGUGGCUCAGAUGGUAAAGCGUCUGCCUACAAUGCGGGAGACCUGGGUUCGAUCCCUAGGUCGGGAA
RNAcentral lists this transfer RNA (72 nucleotides) under Bos indicus (zebu cattle). It matches the Rfam family "tRNA". Rfam says of the family: Transfer RNA (tRNA) molecules are approximately 80 nucleotides in length. Their secondary structure includes four short double-helical elements and three loops (D, anti-codon, and T loops). Further hydrogen bonds mediate the characteristic L-shaped molecular structure. tRNAs have two regions of fundamental functional importance: the anti-codon, which is responsible for specific mRNA codon recognition, and the 3' end, to which the tRNAs corresponding amino acid is attached (by aminoacyl-tRNA synthetases). tRNAs cope with the degeneracy of the genetic code in two manners: having more than one tRNA (with a specific anti-codon) for a particular amino acid; and 'wobble' base-pairing, i.e. permitting non-standard base-pairing at the 3rd anti-codon position. Lineage: Eukaryota; Metazoa; Chordata; Mammalia; Artiodactyla; Bovidae. The record is from Rfam by way of RNAcentral.